Molecule: ribosomal RNA, 460 nt
Filed under: uncultured bacterium
Lineage: Bacteria
Description: partial 16S ribosomal RNA
Rfam family: Bacterial small subunit ribosomal RNA
Source: RNAcentral
CCUACGGGCGGCAGCAGUGAGGAAUAUUGGUCAAUGGGCGCUAGCCUGAACCAGCCAAGUCGCGUGAAGGAUGACUGCCCUAUGGGUUGUAAACUCCUUUUAUAGGGGAGUACAGUUCAGUAUGUAUAUUGCUUUGCCUUUACCUUAUGAAUACGGAUCGCCUAAUUCCGUGCCAGCCGCGGCGGUAAUACGGAGGAUCCGAGCGUUAUCCGGUUUUAUUGGGUUUAAAGGGAGCGUAGGCGGGUUGUUAAGUCAGUUGUGAAAGGUUGCGGCUCAACCGUAGAAUUGCAGUUGAUACUGGCAUCCUUGAGUACAGUAGAGGUAGGCGGAAUUCGUGGUGUAGCGGUGAAAUGCUUAGAUAUCACGAAGAACUCCGAUUGCGAAGGCAGCCUGCUGGACUGUAACUGACGCUGAUGCUCGAAAGUGUGGGUAUCAAACAGGAUUAGAUACCCUUGUAGUC